This 620-nucleotide unclassified non-coding RNA is filed under the name Hevea brasiliensis (rubber tree). Lineage: Eukaryota; Viridiplantae; Streptophyta; Magnoliopsida; Malpighiales; Euphorbiaceae. The record is from RNAcentral.
GAAAAAGAGAAACAAGAUUCAUAAGAGAAAACUCAAUUCUCUUCUCUUAUAGCCAGCUAAAUUCUUGAGAUAUAGAAACCCAAAUGGCAAACCAGCUAGAGAAUCUAGUGCAGUCAAUAAAAUCAAAGGUUCGAGCCUUGAAGAAGUCGAAGAAACCAUACAUCAAAAUGGACAAAAGUUCAAGUGUGAAGGUUGAGAUCCGUAGUAGAAAAGCCAAACAACUUAUUGACAAGACUCUCAAAGUAGCCGAUCGUCCUGGCAAGAGAAGCGUUUCUUAAUUUUUUUUUUCUUUUUUAAAUUUUCUUCUGUAUAUAAAGCUGGACUAAUAUUCAGCUUUUUCUUCCCUGUUUUCGUUUUCAAGUGCCUUCCGAUUCUGUGUUUUUCUUUCUGGGGAAAAGCUUUGAAGGGUAAAUGGAACCGUUUCGGGUUUGGCUGAACAGAAUUUGUUCUUGUUUUGUUUUGUUUUUUCUGUAGUUGUUCUGUUAAUGAAUAUUAGAGUUUUUAAGUUCUGGAUUUUAUUAUGAUUAUCUUUAAUAUUUUUUUAAUAAAAAAUUAAAGGAGUAGAGAUUCAAAGUUGAAAUAAAAUACUGAUAAACAAAUUGAAAUCUUUGUUGUUGGAA